AGGACGAACGCUGGCGGCGUGCUUAACACAUGCAAGUCGAGCGGAAAGGCCCUUCGGGGUACUCGAGCGGCGAACGGGUGAGUAACACGUGAGUAACCUGCCCUUAGCUCUGGGAUAGCUCCGGGAAACCGGGAUUAAAUACCAGAUACGACCACUUUAGACAUCUUUAGUGGUGAAAAGAACUUCGGCUAGGGAUGGGCUCGCGGCCUAUCAGCUUGUUGGUGAGGUAACGGCCCACCAAGGCGACGACGGGUAGCCGGCCUGAGAGGGCGACCGGCCACACUGGGACUGAGACACGGCCCAGACUCCUACGGGAGGCAGCAGUGGGGAAUAUUGCGCAAUGGGCGAAAGCCUGACGCAGCGACGCCGCGUGGGGGAUGAAGGCCUUCGGGUUGUAAACCCCGUUUCAGCAGGGACGAAGCGAAAGUGACGGUACCUGCAGAAGAAGCGCCGGCUAACUACGCGCCAGCAGCCGC
This 476-nucleotide ribosomal RNA is filed under the name uncultured bacterium. RNAcentral's name for it is "SSU rRNA". It matches the Rfam family "Bacterial small subunit ribosomal RNA", at positions 26 to 518 of the family's 1533-position model. The record is from RNAcentral.